This 756-nucleotide non-coding RNA is filed under the name Blaberus sp. B007. The record is from RNAcentral. Lineage: Eukaryota; Metazoa; Arthropoda; Insecta; Blattodea; Blaberidae.
CAUGAAUUUGAGGAAAUAGUUAUUAAUAUUCCUCUAGUUAAAGUAAUAAAAAAAAUCAUCUUAGUUGAAUUGUAUUAAGUAUUAAGAAUUAUGGAAGUUUUGAAUUAGUUAAUUUUAUUAAGUAUUGAUUAAAUAUGUGCCAGCUGUCGCGGUUAUACAUAUUAUAUAAAUAAAUGUUUUUGGUUUAUUAGUUAAGUUGAAAUUGUUAAUAAUUAUCUUAUUAAUUUUUAGGUGGAAUUAAAAAUUAUUAUUUAUGAUUAAUUUUGAUUGAUUGAAGCUAUGAAAUUUAUUUAUUAAACUAGGAUUAGAUACCCUAUUAUUGUAAAUAUAAAUCUUUAAACUUAAGUAGUAAUAGAUAUGGUCUUGAAACUUAAAGAAUUUGGCGGUAUUUUAGUCUGUUUAGAGGAAUCUGUCCCGUAAUCGAUAGUCCACGUUGAACCUGACUUGAUUAAUAUAGUAUGUAUACCGCCGUUUAUUGAAUAUUUUUUUAGGGCAUUUUCUUGGAAUUUAUAAAGAUUUUAUUUCAGGUCAAGGUGCAGCUUAUAAUUAAGGGGAGAUGGAUUACAUUAUUAUAAGAUAAACGUAUUAUAAUUUUGGAAUAUUUAUAUGAAGGUGGAUUUAAUAGUAAUUUUUUGUAGAUUGUAAAUAUGAUUUAAGCUCUAAAAUAUGCACACAUCGCCCGUCACUCUCGUUAAAAAUUUAAAGUGAGAUAAGUCGUAACAAAGUAGGUGUACCGGAAGGUGUAGCUAGAAUGAA